CUUUUUGUAGAACGGGCCAACGAGUUACGUUAAGUAGCAAGGUUAAGCACUUAAGGUGCGGAGCCGUAGCGAAAGCGAGUUUUAACUGAGCGUUCAGUUACUUGACGUAGACCCGAAACCGGGCGACCUACCCAUGAGCAGGAUGAAGCGAAAGUAAAAUUUCGUGGAGGUCCGAACCCACGAGCGUUGAAAAGCUCGGGGAUGACUUGUGGGUAGCGGUGAAAUUCCAAUCGAGCCCGGAGAUAGCUGGUUCUCCCCGAAAUAGCUUUAGGGCUAGCCUCAAGGUGAGAGAUACGGAGGUAGAGCACUGAAUGUCCUAGGGGGUAUUGCACCUACCGAAGACUAUCAAACUCCGAAUGCCGUCAUCUUAUACUUGGGAGUCAGACUGUGGGUGAUAAGAUUCAUAGUCGAAAGGGCAACAGCCCAGAUCGUCAGCUAAGGUCCCUAAAUGUAAGUUAAGUGGUAAAGGAUGUGGGAUUGCACAGACAACCAGGAUGUUGGCUUAGAAGCAGCCACUCAUUCAAAGAGUGCGUAAUAGCUCACUGGUCGAGUGAUCCUGCGCCGAAGAUUUCCGGGGCUAAAACUUACUACCGAAGCUACGGCAUCAGUAAUGAUGGGUAGGGGAGCUUCCCAUACGGGUUGAAGCAUGACCGUAAGGACAUGUGGACAGUAUGGGAGUGAGAAUGUUGGCAUGAGUAGCGAGAUGUGGGUGAGAAUCCCACAGGCCGUAAACCCAAGGUUUCCAGGGGAAGGUUCGUCCGCCCUGGGUUAGUCGGGACCUAAGCUGAGGCCGAAAGGCGUAGGUGAUGGACAACAGGUUGAUAUUCCUGUACUACCGAUAACCGUUUGAGAGAAGGGAUGACACAGUAGGAUAAGCUAAGCACACUGUUGGUUAUGUGUGCCCAAGCAUUGAGGCAGUCAAAGUAGGCAAAUCCGCUUUGAUAAUGCUGGGAUGUGAUGGGGAGCGAAAUUUAGUAGCGAAGUAGCUGAUUUCACACUGUCAAGAAAAGUCUCUAUCGAGGUUAAAGGUACCCGUACCGCAAACCGACACAGGUGGGUGAGGAGAGUAUCCUAAGGCCAGCGAGAGAACUGUUGUUAAGGAACUCGGCAAAAUGACCCCGUAACUUAGGGAUAAGGGGUGCCACCAUCAGGUGGCCGCAGAGAAUAGGCCCAAGCGACUGUUUACCAAAAACAUAGGUUUCUGCUAAGUCGCAAGACGAUGUAUAGGAGCUGACGCCUGCCCGGUGCUGGAAGGUUAAGGGGAUCUGUUAGAGCAAUCGAAGCAGUGAACUUAAGCCCCAGUAAACGGCGGCCGUAACUAUAACGGUCCUAAGGUAGCGAAAUUCCUUGUCGGGUAAGUUCCGACCCGCACGAAAGGCGUAACGAUUUGGGCACUGUCUCAACAACAGACUCGGUGAAAUUGUAAUUCCGGUGAAGAUGCCGGAUACCUGCGACAGGACGGAAAGACCCCAUGGAGCUUUACUGUAGCUUGACAUUGGGUCUUGGUACUACAUGUACAGGAUAGGUGGGAGGCUUUGAAACCAGGACGCCAGUUUUGGCGGAGCCAUCCUUGGGAUACCACCCUUGUAGUACUGGGACUCUAACCAUAGGCCAUGAAUCUGGUCUUGGGACACUGUCA
RNAcentral lists this ribosomal RNA (1639 nucleotides) under Clostridioides difficile. RNAcentral's name for it is "bacterial LSU rRNA". It matches the Rfam family "Bacterial large subunit ribosomal RNA", at positions 604 to 2259 of the family's 2925-position model. Lineage: Bacteria; Bacillati; Bacillota; Clostridia; Peptostreptococcales; Peptostreptococcaceae. The record is from RNAcentral.